Molecule: long non-coding RNA, 206 nt
Filed under: Hordeum vulgare
Lineage: Eukaryota; Viridiplantae; Streptophyta; Magnoliopsida; Poales; Poaceae
Description: long non-coding RNA (HVUL_LNC015765)
Source: RNAcentral
UGGGUGAAAUCCGCCAUAGCUAGUGCCUCCCCGCGCCAAGACCCUCCUUGUUUAGACCCCUCAUGGCGAGUGGGAAAUUUUACCCAUAGCCACGAGUGGUUAGGACCUUAGGAUGCCGAGCCCUAUCGAAGACUGACGCUGUUGUCCGCCAGAACCCGCGUCACCGGCGACUCCCUCCAUCCCUGCGCCUAUGGAGACCACCAGAA